Molecule: ribosomal RNA, 446 nt
Filed under: uncultured bacterium
Lineage: Bacteria
Description: bacterial SSU rRNA
Rfam family: Bacterial small subunit ribosomal RNA
Source: RNAcentral
ACCAGACUCCUACGGGAGGCAGCAGUGGGGGAUAUUGCACAAUGGGGGAAACCCUGAUGCAGCGACGCCGCGUGGGUGAAGAAGUAUUUCGGUAUGUAAAGCCCUAUCAGCAGGGAAGAACGAAGACGGUACCUGACUAAGAAGCCCCGGCUAACUACGUGCCAGCAGCCGCGGUAAUACGUAGGGGGCGAGCGUUAUCCGGAUUCACUGGGUGUAAAGGGAGCGUAGACGGCCGUGCAAGCCAGGAGUGAAAGCCCGGGGCCCAACCCCGGGACUGCUCUUGGAACUGUGCGGCUGGAGUGCGGGAGGGGCAGGCGGAAUUCCUGGUGUAGCGGUGAAAUGCGUAGAUAUCAGGAGGAACACCGGUGGCGAAGGCGGCCUGCUGGACUGCAACUGACGUUGAGGCCCGAAAGCGUGGGGAGCGAACAGGAUUAGAUACCCCCGUA